This 305-nucleotide ribosomal RNA is filed under the name uncultured bacterium. Its description in RNAcentral is "bacterial SSU rRNA". It matches the Rfam family "Bacterial small subunit ribosomal RNA", at positions 335 to 658 of the family's 1533-position model. The record is from RNAcentral.
UACCUACGGGACGCAGCAGUGGGGAAUAUUGCACAAUGGGGGAAACCCUGAUGCAGCGACGCCGCGUGAGCGAUGAAGUAUUUCGGUAUGUAAAGCUCUAUCAGCAGGGAAGAAAAUGACGGUACCUGACUAAGAAGCCCCGGCUAACUACGUGCCAGCAGCCGCGGUAAUACGUAGGGGGCAAGCGUUAUCCGGAUUUACUGGGUGUAAAGGGAGCGUAGACGGUUCUGCAAGCCAGAUGUGAAAGCCCGGGGCUCAACCCCGGGACUGCAUUUGGAACGGUAAGGCUAGAGUGUCGGAGAGGG